UUCACACCAAUGUAUAUCAGGGGUGGAUGAGCAACUGAAAAUUCUAGACUCUUGAGCCUGGAAAUAAUAGAUAUGUAUAAGGAAAGGAAAUAUAAGAAUGGAGGUGCUGGGACUAUUUACUAAUAUCUGUUUAAAACAUCUAUUUCUCUAGAACGUAGUGGUGGUAUGCCCUCCCCAAAAGAGAGCAUGAGCCUGGCAUACCUGCCCAUCUGACUUCUGGCCAGCCCACUUAGGGUUGCUUCUUUUCAUAAAGUUACUGAACCUGCCGUACAGACAAGCCCUGAGUUCAGAAAGCUUGUUUCAUAAAUACGCUUAAACUUAGCUUCUGGAUGAUAAAACUGGGAAAAUAGGACAGUGGG
This is a non-coding RNA of Pelobates cultripes (western spadefoot toad), 359 nucleotides long. NCBI's taxonomy places the organism in Eukaryota, Metazoa, Chordata, Amphibia, Anura, Pelobatidae. The record is from the annotation of a GenBank genome assembly.